Long non-coding RNA from Canis lupus familiaris (dog), 1538 nucleotides. RefSeq lists it as uncharacterized. The record is from RefSeq and is a predicted model, not a curated record. NCBI's taxonomy places the organism in Eukaryota, Metazoa, Chordata, Mammalia, Carnivora, Canidae. The transcript is spliced from 2 exons.
CCCUCUUUCCCUACAGAGGGGCUAAGACCGGCAUGCACCGCGCUUGCGGGGGCGGGGGCGGGGCAGACUCUAGGGACCUGAGCAAAAUUACUGAGGCUGGGAGAGAAACAGGACGAGGCCAAGGGAUCAGGUUAAAAUUCUAGGCAGACAGAAACAAUAGAGAAUGAAGAAGGAAGGAAGGCUAUUACUAGAAGCUGCCGUGAAUGAGUGCUAGGAAACAGGACAUUGGUUCUCAUGGAGCUCCAAAGAUGGGGAGAAUUAAACCUCAGAAUCUAAUAGAGAAAAAAUAUAUCACAGUUUGGCUACUAAAUCUGGGUACUUUGGUUGUUAAACGGAUAGGAAAAUAGACGAGGCAUUGCACGUUCUAGCGAGAAGUGACUGUACAAAAUGGAGUUUGAGAAGCUGGCCCUUACGUUUAGAGCCUAGAACUGUCAGGAGUCUGAAGGUAUAGGGUUAGAAUAAAGUUAGAACAGAAUAGGUCCAAAGGUAAAGAAUCAAAAGGGUAAGUGGAAAGGAAGGGAUGACACCAAGAGAUGUUCAAAGUGUACAGAAUUCACCUGAAAAGGAGUCUCCUUCUCAAUCCAUUCAGAAAACAGAGAUUUGUAAGGCAAAGGAGUAUAUAGAGAAUUAGAAAUUGGACAUUAGCUUCUCAUAAGAAAUACCUCAUAGGGUACUUCUGUGCACAUACAGAAUCUGAGCCCAGGCAACUUAUUGGAAACUUUAUAGGGGUGGACCUUCAUGAGAAAGGGGAUAGUGGGAUAAAAACUGUUCAAUCAAUAAUUAUUAGAAGGUGUGUGUAUGACAGUAAAAGGUGUACCGAAUCAUGGGCAGAGACCAGUGUGUCCACUAAGAUCUAUAUGUCUUGAUGGCAUAGUAUCCAAGUGGGGUGAGAAAUUCCUGCCCAUCUUCCUGCUGUAUACUUAGUGUGUUCAGAAUUUGUUCACAAUGGACGAUGUUAAUUAGGAGCAUCUGCUAGAACAAACAGAAACUCCUCUCCCCGUAUCCUCCUGUGCCCAGAUUGUGGGGCAUAACUGGUUUGCCUCCAGUCAUCAUCUGGGGGCAUAUCUACUCGUCGAGGACCAGGGACUCGAGACCCAGGAACAGGACCCAAAUUCCAAGCUGACUUCAGGGGUACAUGAAGACUGCUUGAUGGUGGAGACACAGGAUAAACAACAGGAGGGUAGGAGGAAGAAUGGAAAAGAUCCCCCCAGGACUGAGCAUGAGGAACCUGAAGGCCAUGGUGCCUUUCUGGUAGUGUGGCAGUGUGUGUUGGCUGAGGCUUGCACACUGGAGUACUCAGGAAUCUUGCCCCAAUAUGCUGGUUGGUCUCUGACCAUGGCCCCCAUGAGGCAUCUGUUCUGGAACGAUGUGGGAGACUCUGGUAGUUCAGAGUCCUUCCUGUGUACUUGACCCCCUGGCAAGUUUCACCCCUGUCACACAUAGCCAGAAACUGCUGGACACUCCUCGAAGUUCCUGGGAAGAGAAAAAGAAACCCAAAGAUUAAGCAUCUUCAGUAAACCAUUCUCCUUCCCAAAGAA